GAUGAACGCUAGCGGCAGGCCUAAUACAUGCAAGUCGGACGGGAUUGAGGAGCUUGCUUCUCAUGAGAGUGGCGCACGGGUGCGUAACACGUAUGUAACCUACCUUAGUCAGGGGGAUAGCCUCUCGAAAGAGAGAUUAACACCGCAUAACAUUAUGAUAUGGCAUCAUGUUAUAAUCAAAUAUUUAUAGGACUAAGAUGGGCAUGCGGAACAUUAGCUAGUUGGUAAGGUAACGGCUUACCAAGGCUACGAUGUUUAGGGGAUCUGAGAGGAUGACCCCCCACACUGGUACUGAGACACGGACCAGACUCCUACGGGAGGCAGCAGUAAGGAAUAUUGGUCAAUGGACGCAAGUCUGAACCAGCCGUGCCGCGUGCAGGAAGACGGCCUUACGGGUUGUAAACUGCUUUUGUACCGGAAUAAACCUUUGUAUGUAUACGAAGCUGAAUGUACGGUAAGAAUAAGGAUCGGCUAACUCCGUGCCAGCCGCCGCCGUAA
RNAcentral lists this ribosomal RNA (498 nucleotides) under uncultured bacterium. RNAcentral's name for it is "partial 16S ribosomal RNA". It matches the Rfam family "Bacterial small subunit ribosomal RNA", at positions 28 to 523 of the family's 1533-position model. The record is from RNAcentral.